CGGUUAGGGGUGGGGUUCGGCGGUCGGAGGGUUAGGCGGCGGUCAUGCGGGGAUCCCCUCGGGCUCCAGGGGGCCGUCGUGACCCCAAAUACCAGAGCCCGAGAAGGCGGUUCGGCGAAAAGAAGCUCCUGUGUAGGUGCUGAGUGUUGUCGUUUGUGCGAGCUCCUGUAAAGCUUUCUGCCGGGUCUGCGCUAUUGCUGGUUAAUGGGAAGCUUCACUCUGCUUUUGACUGCUGAGAAACAAAAUGUGCUUCCAGGAAAGAUGAGAAAAUUCUGAACCUGGCAGACCAUGUUUAUUUUGUUGCUGACCAGUUCACAAGAAACUCACAGAGCUUGCGACCAAGAAAGUGCAUGCUACAACAUUCAGAGAUGCACAUACUCAUCUUGGGUUUUCCACUGGAAAUUCAGAGUGAUGCCACUGACUUCACUGGUUUUACUGAAGAUUUGUGUGCUUCAUCAAGGAUCAGAAUCAGGCCCUAAGAUUUUUUGCCCUACAGACCUACGUUCUUCCACUUUUUAA
This 519-nucleotide long non-coding RNA is filed under the name Dromaius novaehollandiae (emu). RNAcentral's name for it is "lncRNA (ENSDNVG00000012886.1)". The record is from RNAcentral. Lineage: Eukaryota; Metazoa; Chordata; Aves; Casuariiformes; Dromaiidae.